ACGAACGGUGGCGGCGUGCUUAACACAUGCAAGUCGAACGGAGGCUAGAGGGAGCUUGCUCCCGACAGCCUUAGUGGCGGACGGGUGAGUAACGCGUGGGUAACCUGCCCUAGAGAGGGGGAUAACACCGCGAAAGUGGUGCUAAUACCGCAUGAAGCUAUUUGAUUGCAUAGUCGAAUAGCCAAAGGAGAAAUCCGCUCUGGGAUGGACCCGCGUCUGAUUAGCUAGUUGGUGGGGUAACGGCCUACCAAGGCGACGAUCAGUAGCCGGCCUGAGAGGGUGAACGGCCACACUGGGACUGAGACACGGCCCAGACUCCUACGGGAGGCAGCAGUGGGGAAUCUUCCGCAAUGGGCGAAAGCCUGACGGAGCAACGCCGCGUGAAUGAUGAAGGCCUUCGGGUUGUAAAAUUCUGUCUUUAGGGAAGAAAAAAAUGACGGUACCUGAGGAGGAAGCCCCGGCUAACUACGU
Molecule: ribosomal RNA, 471 nt
Filed under: uncultured bacterium
Lineage: Bacteria
Description: bacterial SSU rRNA
Rfam family: Bacterial small subunit ribosomal RNA
Source: RNAcentral